UAAAAUCAUUUUAAGUUGGAAUUAUACAAUCAUUUAAUACAAAAGAGAAGCAAACUCAAAAAAAAUACUAGAUACCACACCUGCCAAUCUUUCUAGCAUCAAUUAAGAACAUGAAGAGAUGGCCACAUCAUCAAAUGCCAAAUUGGAACACGUCAAAAGCAUUAGGGCCGAUAAUCAAAAGUUAAUCACCCUUAUGGAUGCAACAAAGAUAUACAGAAUCAUGAUCGUUGUUGUCCUAAUUCAUUUUUGGGGUAAGGAGCAGUAACGUGAGAGAUCCCAACGAAAUAUUAUACGGAGUUUUCCCUACUCCAGGUAUGUUAAGUCCCUCCAUUCUUUCUUUUGGCAUGGUCCAAAUUAUACUGAAGAAAUGAGAAAAUACACAGUUUUAAAUAAAUUACUCUAUUCAUUGAAAUAGUAGGGGUGUCUAUAUUCUUGAUUCCCCAUGAGAAUUAUUAUUAUCUUCUGUUNNNNNNNNNNNNNNNNNNNNNNNNNNNNNNNNNNNNNNNNNNNNNNNNNNNNNNNNNNNNNNNNNNNNNNNNNNNNNNNNNNNNNNNNNNNNNNNNNNNNNNNNNNNNNNNNNNNNNNNNNNNNNNNNNNNNNNNNNNNNNNNNNNNNNNNNNNNNUACAUAAAAGAUUGUACUGCCUUGUCGGCCUAUGUUUUGAGUUUAUAAAGAAUCAUGUUGGCCUAUUAGGCCCUAUAUCAUGUGUAUAUGAUGAUGUAAUAAGAAAGAUACGUUAUGUUGGUAAUCGGUUGAGUAAGGUAUUGGGUGUCCGUCGGGGCCCAUCGGUUUAGGUCGUGAUACUAUGUCCCUAAGACAGUUUUCCGCACUCAGUAUGGGCAUUAUGAGUUCUUGGUGAUGUCAUUCGGGUUGAGAAUGCCCAGCAGCUUUUAUGGAUUUGAUGAACCGAGUGUUCAGGCCUUACUUGGAUUCAUUCGUAUAGUCUUCAUUGAUGAUAUUUUGAUCUAUUCCCGCAGUCGAGAAGAGCACGACCAGCAUCUUAGAGUGGUUCUUCAAACUUUGAGGGAUAGUCAGUUGUAUGCUAAAUUUUUGAAGUGUGAGUUCUGGUUGAGUUCAGUUGCAUUCCUAGGUCAUGUUGUAUCAGCAGAGGGUAUUCAUGUUGAUCUGAAGAAGAUUGAGGCAGUUGAGAACUGGCCUAGACCAGCAUCAACUACAUAGAUCCGGAGUUUCUUGGGAUUGGCAGGCUAUUAUCGCUGGUUUGUGGAGGGGUUUUCAUCCAUUGCAACCCCGAUGACCAGGUUGACCCAGAAGGGUGCCCAGUUCAGGUGGUCAGACGAGUGUGAGGUGAGCUUUCAGAAGCUCAAGACAGCUUUGACUACGACACCAGUGUUGGUUUUGCCCACAGGUUCAAGGCCGUAUAUAGUUUUUUGUGAUGCAUCUCGUACUGGACUUGGUGCGGUGUUGAUGCAAGUUGGCAAGAUCAUUGCCUAUGCUUCACGGUAGUUGAAGAUCAUGAGAAGAACUAUCCGGUUCAUGAUUUGGAGUUAGCAUCCAUUGUUCACGCGUUGAAGAUUUGGAGGCAUUAUCUGUAUGGCGUGGCAUGCGAGGUGUUCACGGAUCACAAGAGUCUGCAGUACUUGUUCAAGUAGAAGGAGUUGAAUUUGAGGUAGAUAAGGUGGUUGGAGCUGUUAAAUGACUAUGAUAUCACCAUCUUAUAUCAUCGGGAAAGGCCAAUGUGGUGGCUGAUGCUUUGAGUAGGAAGUCAGCCAGUAUGGCCAGUCUUGCUUAUAUUCCGGUCGGUGAGAGACCACUUGCUUUGGAUGUUCAAGCUUUGGCCAAUCAGUUCGUGAGGUUGAAUGUUUCUGAGCCCGGUCGUGUGUUAGCUUGCACGGUCGCUCGUUCCUCUUUAUUGGAGUGUAUCCGUGAUCGGCAGUAUGAUGAUCCCCAUUUGUGGGUCCUUAGAGACACGAUGCAGCACGGAGGUGCCAAGCAGGUUACCUUAGGAGACGAUGGAGUUUUGAAAUUGCAGGGUCGAGUUUGUGUUCCUAAUAUGGACGGGCUUCGAGAGUUGAUUUUAGAGGAGGCCCAAAGCUCCUGGUACUCUAUUCAUCCAGGCACCGCGAAGAUGUAUCAGGAUUUGCUGCAGCAUUAUUGGUGGAGAAGAAUGAAUAAGGACAUCGUUGCAUAUGUGGCUCGGUGUUUGAACUGUCAGCAGGUUAAGUACGAGCAUUAGAGGCCAGGUGGUUUGUUCCAGAAGAUUGAGAUUCCUGAGUGAAAGUGUAAGCGUAUCACUAUGAACUUCGUUGUUGGGCUCCUACGGACUCAGAGGAAGUUCGACGCAGUGUGAGUUAUUGUUGAUAGGCUGACCAAGUCAGCAUAUUUCAUUUCUGUGGCAGUCUCCUAUUCUUCCAGGAGGUUAGCUGAGAUCUAUAUCCAGGAGAUUGUUCGUCUUUAUGGUGUGCCAGAGUCUAUCAUUUCGGAUCGAGGUACGUAGUUUACCUCCCAUUUCUGGAGAGCAGUUCAGUGAGAGUUGGGCACACGGGUUGAGUUGAGCACAACGUUUCACCCUCAGAUGGACGGACAGUCAGAGCGAACCAUUCAGAUUUUGAAGGAUAUGCUCUGAGCUUGUGUCAUUGACAUUGGAGGCUCGUGGGAUCAUUUUUUCCCUUUAGCAGAGUUUGCCUACAACAACGGCUACAAGUCGAGUAUCCAGAUGGCUCCGUAUAAGGCUUUGUAUGGUAGGCGGUAUCGGUUGCCAGUUGGAUGGUUUGAGCCCGAAGAGGCUCGGUUGUUGGGUACGGAUCUGGUUCAGGAUACCUUGGACAAGGUCGGGAUUAUUCAGGAUAGGCUUUGUACCACUCAGUCCAGGCAAAAGAGUUAUGCCGACCGUAAGGUUUGUGAUUUGGCAUUCAUAGUUGGUGAGCGGGUAUUGCUUCGAGUCUCGCCUAUGAAGGGCGUGAUGAGAUUUGGGAAGAAGGGCAAGCUUAGCCCUAGGUUCAUUGGCCCGUUUGAGAUUCUUGAUCGAGUGGGAGAGGUGGCUUACAGACUUGCGUUGCCGCCGAGCUUAACAGCCGUGCAUCCAGUGUUUCAUGUGUCCAUGCUUCGAAAAUAUCACGGCGAUCCAUCCCACGUGUUAGAUUUCAACACUAUCUAGUUGGACAAGGACUUGUCUUAUGAGGAGGAGCUGGUAGCUAUGCUAGACCGGCAGGUUCGUCAGUUGAGAUCGAAGAGUUUUCCUUCUGUUCGUGUUCAGUGGAGAGGUCAGCUCGCUGAGGCAUCGACCAGGGAUUCCGAGUCCCAUAUGUGGAGCAGUUAUCCACUUAUUUUAAAAGUAAAUUUUACGUUCUGAGGCCUUAAAAACCUCUUUCGGCAUCACCUCGAUUUGUGUGCGCAGUUCGGGCGCGUAGCAGGAAAGCUAUUAUGUUAAAAAUGAUAAAUUUUGCCUUUAAAAUGAAUUUAAGUUGACUUCGGUGAACAAUUUGGGUAAACGGACCCGGACCUGUGAUUUGACGGUCCCAGAGGGUCCAUAGGAAAAUAUGGGACUUGGCGUAUGCCCGGAAUCGAAUUCCAAGGUCCCAAGCUCGAGAAAUGAAUUUUUAAAGAAAAUUAUUUUCUGAAAUUAUUUCUGAGUUUUGGAAAUGAAAUGAGUUUAAAACUCAAUGGUAUCGGGCCCGUAUUUUGGUUUCGGCGCUCGGUACAGGUCUUAUAUAUGAUUUAAGAUAAGUUUGUGUAAUUUGGUAAGAAACGGACUUGAAACGACGUGAAUCGGAUCAUAUUUGAGAAAAAUGGAAAAUUUGAAGUUCUUGAGAAAUUUCAUAAUUUUGAUGUUUAAUUCAUAGUUGUUGAUGUUAUUUUAGAUAUUUGAAUGCACGAGCGAGUCUGUAUGGUGUUUUUAGGUUGGUGUGCAUGUUUGGUUUGGAUCCUCGAGGGCUGGGGUGAGUUUUGGAUAGGCCACGGGGUAAAUUUUUGGACCUAAGGAUUUGCAGGCUUCAGCUGAUGCGAAGCCUGGCUCGCAAAUGCGAGGGCUAUGUCGCAAUUGCGAAAGUAGCCCAGGCCAGCCUAUCUCGCAAUUGCGAGGGUUUUAAUCGCAAAUGCGAUCCCCCAGCUUGUGGCCAGUAGUCGCAAAUGCGACAUGUUGGUCGCAUUUCCCAGCUCGCAAAUGUGAGCCCAUUUUCGCAAAUGCGAACUUAGCAAAAGUUUGGGUUCGCAAUUGCAACAUCUCCAACCUGCAAUUUUAUAACUUAGCCGAAAAUCUUUCAUUUUUCGCACUCUUUCAAAAUCAAAAUACUCUUGGGCGAUUUUUCAAAGGCAACUUCUUCUCCAAAUUGAUUAUAAGUCAAUUUUAAUUCGUUUUCUUCAAUCAUUAACAUCUUUUCACAUGAUUUCAACUCAAAAUCUAUGAUUUUCAUAGGGAAAAUUGGGUGUUUUGGGUAGAACCUAGGUUUUUCAAAAAUUGGAGAUUUGAACCUCGAUUUGUGGUCCGAUUUCAAAACAAAUUAUAUAUUUGGGUUCGUAGGGGAAUGGGUAAUCGGGUUUUGGUUCAAACCUCGGGUUUUGACCAUGUGGGCCCAGGGGCGAUUUUUGACUUUUUGGGAAAAACUUUAGAAAACUCAUUUUCAUGCAUUAGAAUUGAUUCAUUUAGCAUUUAUUGAUGUAAUUAAGUAACUUGUGGCUAGUUACAAGCGAAUUGGUGGUAGAAUUAAGUGGUAAAGCAUUAGUAGAGGCUUGAAUUGUGUUCGUGGCAUCGAGGUAAGUGUUUGGUCUAACCUUAGCUUGAGGGAUUAGGAGUUGAAGCCUAUUUUCUACAUGUUACUUGUUGAGUACGACGUAUAGACAUGGUGACGAGUAUCUAUACGUUGGUGUCAAGCAUGACCGUGAGUCUUAAAUGGAAAUUGUUGUGUUUUGAAUAAAUACUACGAAUGCCUAAGUUGUUGAUUCUCUAUGUCGAACAAGGAUUAUGAUUAUCCUCGUGGAAAUUACUUAUGAUUGAGUAUUGGUGCUAGUUGAGGUAGUUAGAUGUUGAAACAAGUUUGGUUAUAGCUGAUUUUCCCUUGCCGGGACGUAUUUACUUAUACUGUCGAUUUUCUUGCCGGGAUAGUAUUGUUUAUUUAUUGAUCCCUUACCAGGACUCUUGUUGUGAUUGGUGUUGAAAUGUAUAAUGGGAUCGGGUUGCACGCCGCAACUAGGGGUGUUCAUAAAAAUCCGAAAACCCGAACCAAACCGAAAACCAAACCAAACCGACCAAAAAAAACCGAUACUUUUUGGUUUGAUUUGGUUUUGGUUUUAAUUUAAAAACCGAUCAAAUUUGGUUUGGUUUUGGUUUUAAUUAAAAAAAACCGAACCAAAUCUAAUAUAGGAGUAGCUAUUUUUAAAUUUAUUAUUACACCUAUAUAUAUGUAUAGUUUUAUACAAAGUUUUAAAAAAUUUAUACUAAAUAUUAAUCGUUUGCACUUUUAGUACAGUUCUUUACCUUUACAUUCAAGCUUAAUGGGUAGUUUUCUUUUGUUAAGUGUAAGAAUCUAUUUCAUGUUAAAAAUAAUAUAUUUUUAAUUGAGUCCUUAAAUUAUUUAUCACUAUUUGAUUCAAUUAUCAUCAAUAUAUCUUGGUAAAUAAUAGAUUUCUCAAAGGGCAAUUGAUUUGAUAGUGUUACGUUGAAAAUGUGGUCGCCGAAAUGUAUGUUUGGUAGUGUAUGUCUUAUAUUUAAGAAAAAAUCGACAAAUAACCGAAGAAACCGAAAAAACAAACAUAAACCGAAUCGAGAAAAAACCGACUUAAUUGGUUUGGUAUGGUUCUAAUAUUUAAAAAACCGACUUACUUGGUUUGGUUUCUUUUUAGGGAAAAACCGAUCCAAACCGAACCAUGAACACCCCUAGCCGCAACAAUAUUAUAUUUGGAUUGGGUUGCACGCCGCAGCAAUAUUAUAUUUGGAUCGGGUUGCACACCGCAACAAUAUUAUAUUUGGAUCGGGUUGCACGCCGCAACAAUAAUAUAAUUGGAUCGGGUUGUACGCUGUAACAGUGAUAAAUGAUAUGGAUCGGGUUGCACGCCGCAACAGAGUUAGUAUGUUUUGGGAUAGGAUUGCGCGCCACAACAAUUGAUAAUACGAAGUGUUUAUAGAUUGGAUACGAGUCCUUAUUGUUUUGCUGUAAAUUCUAAAUUGUUCUUAUGCUUUCCUCCUAAUUUGUUGUUGGUACUGAUAUUUCCCCACAGCAUGUACCCCCUCCUAUCUUCACGUGUUUGUUCCUGUUUUAUUUUUCGCUGCAUAUUAUAUAACUGCACAGGUUUAUUUGGUAGUCUGGUCCUAGCCUCGUCACUACUUUGCCGGCGUUAGGCCAGGCACUUACCAGCACAUGGGGUUGGUUGUGCUGAUACUACACUCUGCACUACGUGCAGAUCCCGGAGCGGCAGCUUUUGGACUGUAGCAUUGGGUGGUUGCCUUCAGUCCAGUUAAAGAUCCCGAGGUAGUCCUGCAGGCGUCCGCAUGCUCGGCGUUUUCUUCUAUCCUUAUGUGUAUUCUGUUUCCAUUUGCUUCCGAGACUGAUUUUACCUUCUUUUCAGACAAUUAUAUGUAGUAUUCCUAGACAGUCCGUGAUAUUGUGACACCGGAUUCC
This 6571-nucleotide long non-coding RNA is filed under the name Nicotiana tabacum (common tobacco). RNAcentral's name for it is "long non-coding RNA (NTAB_LNC006428)". Lineage: Eukaryota; Viridiplantae; Streptophyta; Magnoliopsida; Solanales; Solanaceae. The record is from RNAcentral.